UUGGAGGGCGAGUCUGGUGCCAGCAGCCGCGGUAAUUCCAGCUCCAAUAGCGUAUAUUAAAGUUGUUGCAGUUAAAAAGCUCGUAGUUGAAUUUCGAGACCGGCUUACUGGUCGUGCUAUUGUACGUACUGGUAUAAUCGGUUUCUCCUUUCUGACGAACUAUAAUGCCAUUAAUUUGGUGUUUUAGGGAAUCAGGACUGUUACUUUGAAAAAAUUAGAGUGUUUAAAGCAGGCUCACGCUUGAAUACAUUAGCAUGGAAUAACGGAAUAGGACGUUUGAUUCUAUUUUGUUGGUUUCUAGGAUCGACGUAAUGAUUAAUAGGGAUAGUUGGG
This 333-nucleotide unclassified non-coding RNA is filed under the name uncultured Glomeraceae. Its description in RNAcentral is "SSU rRNA". It matches the Rfam family "Eukaryotic small subunit ribosomal RNA", at positions 548 to 886 of the family's 1831-position model. The record is from RNAcentral. Lineage: Eukaryota; Fungi; Glomeromycota; Glomeromycetes; Glomerales; Glomeraceae.